GAUGAACGCUGGCGGCGUGCCUAAUACAUGCAAGUCGAGCGAACAGAAGAGGAGCUUGCUCCUCUGACGUUAGCGGCGGACGGGUGAGUAACACGUGGAUAACCUACCUAUAAGACUGGGAUAACUUCGGGAAACCGAAGCUAAUACCGGUAAAUAUAUUGAACCGCAUGAUUCAAUAGUGAAAGACGGUUUUGCUGUCACUUAUAGAUGGAUCCGCGCCGCAUUAGCUAGUUGGUAAGGUAACGGCUCACCAAGGCAACGAUGCGUAGCCGACCUGAGAGGGUGGUCGGCCACACUGCAUCUGAGACACGGUCCAGACUCCUACGGGAGGCAGCAGUAGGGAAUCUUCCGCAAUGGGCGGAAGCUUGGCGGAGCAACGCCGCGUGAGUUAUGAAGGUCUUCGGAUCGUAAAACUCUGUUAUUAGUGAAGAACAAAUGUGUAAGUAACUAUGCACGUCUUGACGGUACCUAAUCAGAAAGCCCCGGCUAACUCCGUG
This 497-nucleotide ribosomal RNA is filed under the name uncultured bacterium. Its description in RNAcentral is "partial 16S ribosomal RNA". It matches the Rfam family "Bacterial small subunit ribosomal RNA", at positions 28 to 507 of the family's 1533-position model. The record is from RNAcentral.